RNAcentral lists this ribosomal RNA (205 nucleotides) under uncultured bacterium. Its description in RNAcentral is "partial 16S ribosomal RNA". It matches the Rfam family "Bacterial small subunit ribosomal RNA", at positions 1296 to 1500 of the family's 1533-position model. The record is from RNAcentral.
GAUUGAAGGCUGAAAUUCGCCUUCAUGAAGCCGGAAUUGCUAGUAAUGGCAGGUCAGCAUACUGCCGUGAAUACGUUCCCGGGCCCUUGUACACACCGCCCGUCACACCAUGAGAGUUGGGAAUACCCGAAGCCUGUGAGCUAACGUUAAGAGGCAGCAGUCGAAGGUAGAAUCAAUGAUUGGGGUGAAGUCGUAACAAGGUAUC